UACGUAGGGUGCGAGCGUUAAUCGGAAUACUGGGCGUAAAGCGUGCGCAGGCGGUGAUGUAAGACAGAUGUGAAAUCCCCGGGCUCAACCUGGGAACUGCAUUUGUGACUGCAUCGCUGGAGUGCGGCAGAGGGGGGAUGGAAUUCCGCGUGUAGCAGUGAAAUGCGUAGAUAUGCGGAGGAACACCGAUGGCGAAGGCAAUCCCCUGGGCCUGCACUGACGCUCAUGCACGAAAGCGUGGGGAGCAAACAGG
This 253-nucleotide ribosomal RNA is filed under the name uncultured bacterium. RNAcentral describes it as "partial 16S ribosomal RNA". It matches the Rfam family "Bacterial small subunit ribosomal RNA", at positions 524 to 776 of the family's 1533-position model. The record is from RNAcentral.